This 214-nucleotide long non-coding RNA is filed under the name Rattus norvegicus (Norway rat). RNAcentral describes it as "long non-coding RNA NONRATT002796". The record is from RNAcentral. Lineage: Eukaryota; Metazoa; Chordata; Mammalia; Rodentia; Muridae.
CUUUGCACACUUCGAGACUUUGGCUGAGAUACAGAAUAGAAGGAGCCAGAAUUUGUUCUGCUAAAUGACAGCUGCUUGAUUCGAGGACUUCUUCUCAAAAUCAUCUCUGAAAAACCGGAAGCAGAGCUGGAGACUCUUCAACUACAUGAAUAUCAGGACCAGGAUCAGAAGACCUUAAAGAGCAACCAGCACAGAGUCAAUGCACUCAUGACUG